Molecule: unclassified non-coding RNA, 214 nt
Filed under: uncultured Pezizales
Lineage: Eukaryota; Fungi; Ascomycota; Pezizomycetes; Pezizales
Description: sequence contains ITS2
Source: RNAcentral
ACAACCGUUUCAAUCCCUUUUGUUUUGAUAUUCAAGGGCUUGGUUAUGGUGGAUGGAGAUGAUGUGUGCGCACUUGUUGAGUUCCUACCUCCCCACCGAAAUUUAGAGGCGGCCUGCCCCCACGUAUUUUUGCGGCGUUGUAAAGGCUUAUCAGCACUAUUCGCUCGCAUCGUGGGUGCACUGCUUGCCAUUGGAGAAAUCCCCAUUCAUCAAA